This 625-nucleotide ribosomal RNA is filed under the name Cora arachnoidea. RNAcentral describes it as "eukaryotic LSU rRNA". The stretch from base 224 to 377 matches the Rfam family "5.8S ribosomal RNA". Lineage: Eukaryota; Fungi; Basidiomycota; Agaricomycetes; Agaricales; Hygrophoraceae. The record is from RNAcentral.
CUGCGGAAGGAUCAUUAACGAACUCCCGGAAGGAUGCGCUCGCUGCUGGGCUUCUCAGAAGUCAACGUGCACACGCUCUUUCCUCUCGUUCAACCAAUCUACCCCUAUCUGUGCACCCCUCGUAGGCUGAGAUCUCUUAGCUUAUGUUCUUUCCACAAUACAAUCCUAAUAUAUUAGCGAAUGGCAGCCGUUCGAGUCUCGUCUCGACGAAGCAAAUAUACACAACUUUCAACAACGGAUCUCUUGGCUCUCGCAUCGAUGAAGAACGCAGCGAAAUGCGAUAAGUAAUGUGAAUUGCAGAAUUCAGUGAAUCAUCGAAUCUUUGAACGCACCUUGCGCCCCUUGGUACUCCGAGAGGCAUGCCUGUUUGAGUGUCAUUGAACCAUCAACCCGAGUGGCUUUCGAGCUUCUAUCGGAGUUUGGAGCUUGCGGCGUGCGGGGAAGGCUCUCCGGGGCCUCUCCCGCUCCUCGCGGAAUACAUCAGCAGAUGUCCACUUGCGGUCCAGCCUUGGCGUGAUAACUGUCUACGUCCUGGCUUGGGUCGCGUUACCCUGGCUCUGCUUCGAACGGUCGUCGUUCUGGCGACGGCAUGAAUUGACAAAUUUGACCUCAAAUCAGGUAGGAU